CCUGCCCCGUGCCCGCGGCCCCCCGGGAAUGCGGGCUUUUCCCCCGCCGUGCGCACCGGCGCGCUCAGGGGAUACGCCGCUCUGCCGCAGCCGCUGGUCCGGCCGUGCCGGAGCCGGGGGAGCGCCGUCGUGUGCAACGCGUCGGUGUAGCUCAGCCCGCCCACGACGCAGUGGGUCUCCGUCGCGGCCGCCGCAGUGCUCUUGCUUGCUAAAGGCACAAGCAUACACAAAUCUUUCCUCGUGCCAUUGUUUGGUCUGCGAGCACCUAGCCGUGUAAUCUCAUGGAUCAAGAGAGAAUAUGGGCUGUGGACUGCUUUUCUUGCGCUUGCAGUGCGUUUGUUCUUACCCUUUCCAGAUGAGCUAGAGCUUCCACUGUCAACGAUGCUGGCGGUCAGCAUUGCUCCUUACCAGGUGAUGAAUGUGAGGUAUGUAACAUUCUCACCAGUUUGA
This 450-nucleotide ribosomal RNA is filed under the name Triticum aestivum (bread wheat). Its description in RNAcentral is "partial small subunit ribosomal RNA". Lineage: Eukaryota; Viridiplantae; Streptophyta; Magnoliopsida; Poales; Poaceae. The record is from RNAcentral.